Molecule: ribosomal RNA, 375 nt
Filed under: uncultured organism
Description: partial 16S ribosomal RNA
Rfam family: Bacterial small subunit ribosomal RNA
Source: RNAcentral
GGGGGGGGGGGCAAGCGUUGUUCGGAAUUACUGGGCGUAAAGGGCGCGUAGGCGGUCCCGCAAGUCCUUCGUGAAAUCCCACAGCUCAACUGUGGAACUGCGAGGGAAACUGCAGGACUUGAGUCCGGGAGAGGAGAGUGGAAUUCCCAGUGUAGCGGUGAAAUGCGUAGAUAUUGGGAGGAACACCGGUGGCGAAGGCGGCUCUCUGGACCGGUACUGACGCUGAGGCGCGAAAGCUAGGGGAGCAAACGGGAUUAGAUACCCCGGUAGUCCUAGCCUUAAACGAUGAGCACUUGGUGUGGCGGGUAUCGACCCCUGCCGUGCCGAAGCUAACGCAUUAAGUGCUCCGCCUGGGGAGUACGGUCGCAAAGGCUG